UACCAGCACCCCGAGUGGUCGGGACGAUUAUUGGGCCUAAAGCAUCCGUAGCCGGUUUUACAAGUCCUCCGUUAAAUCCAGCUGCUUAACAGAUGGGCUGCGGAGGAUACUAUAAGACUAGGAGGCAGGAGAGGCAAGCGGUACUCAGUGGGUAGGGGUAAAACCCGUUGAUCCAUUGAAGACCACCAGUGGCGAAGGCGGCUUGCCAGAAUGCGCUCGACGGUGAGGGAUGAAAGCUGGGGGAGCAAACCGG
Molecule: ribosomal RNA, 253 nt
Filed under: uncultured bacterium
Lineage: Bacteria
Description: partial 16S ribosomal RNA
Rfam family: Archaeal small subunit ribosomal RNA
Source: RNAcentral